RNAcentral lists this ribosomal RNA (610 nucleotides) under uncultured bacterium. RNAcentral's name for it is "bacterial SSU rRNA". It matches the Rfam family "Bacterial small subunit ribosomal RNA", at positions 338 to 1417 of the family's 1533-position model. The record is from RNAcentral.
CCUACGGGAGGCAGCAGUGGGGAAUAUUGGACAAUGGGCGCAAGCCUGGUCCAGCAAUGCCGCGUGAGUGAUGAAGGCCUUAGGGUCGUAAAGCUCUUUUACCAGGGAUGAUAAUGACAGUACCUGGAGAAUAAGCUCCGGCUAACUCCGUGCCAGCAGCCGCGGUAAUACGGAGGGAGCUAGCGUUGUUCGGAAUUACUGGGCGUAAAGCGUACGUAGGCGGUUAUUCAAGUCAGAGGUGAAAGCCCGGGGCUCAACCCCGGAACGGCCUUUGAAACUAGGUAGCUAGAAUCUUGGAGAGGUCAGUGGAAUUCCGAGUGUAGAGGUGAAAUUCGUAGAUAUUCGGAAGAACACCAGUGGCGAAGGCGACUGACUGGACAAGUAUUGACGCUGAGGUACGAAAGCGUGGGGAGCAAACAGGAUUAGAUACCCUGGUAGUCCACGCCGUAAACGAUGAUAACUAGCUGUCCGGGCACUUGGUGCCUGGGUGGCGCAGCUAACGCAUUAAGUUAUCCGCCUGGGGAGUACGGUCGCAAGAUUAAAACUCAAAAGUAGUAAGUAGGACGUCGUAGAACGUAGCGACGACGGACCAACCGACGGGAGGGUAAGG